GAUGAACGCUGGCGGCGUGCCUAAUACAUGCAAGUCGAGCGAACAGACGAGGAGCUUGCUCCUCUGACGUUAGCGGCGGACGGGUGAGUAACACGUGGAUAACCUACCUAUAAGACUGGGAUAACUUCGGGAAACCGGAGCUAAUACCGGAUAAUAUAUUGAACCGCAUGGUUCAAUAGUGAAAGACGGUUUUGCUGUCACUUAUAGAUGGAUCCGCGCCGCAUUAGCUAGUUGGUAAGGUAACGGCUUACCAAGGCAACGAUGCGUAGCCGACCUGAGAGGGUGAUCGGCAACACUGGAACUGAGACACGGUCCAGAUUCCUACGGGAGGCAGCAGUAGGGAAUCUUCCGCAAUGGGCGAAAGCCUGACGGAGCAACGCCGCGUGAGUGAUGAAGGUCUUCGGAUCGUAAAACUCUGUUAUUAGGGAAGAACAAAUGUGUAAGUAACUAUGCACGUCUUGACGGUACCUAAUCAGAAAGCCACGGCUAACUACGUG
Molecule: ribosomal RNA, 497 nt
Filed under: uncultured bacterium
Lineage: Bacteria
Description: partial 16S ribosomal RNA
Rfam family: Bacterial small subunit ribosomal RNA
Source: RNAcentral